GACGAACCGUGCGAACGUUAUUCGGAAUCACUGGGCUUAAAGCGCGUGUAGGCGGGACGGCACGUCUGUCGCUAAAAUCCCCCGGCUUAACCGGGGAACUGGCGUAGAUACGACCGUCCUGGAGGGGCGUAGGGGGACCUGGAACUUCCGGUGGAGCGGUGAAAUGCGUUGAGAUCGGAAGGAACGCCCGUGGCGAAAGCGAGGUCCUGGACGCCUACUGACGCUGAGACGCGAAAGCCAGGGGAGCGAACGGG
RNAcentral lists this ribosomal RNA (254 nucleotides) under uncultured bacterium. Its description in RNAcentral is "partial 16S ribosomal RNA". It matches the Rfam family "Bacterial small subunit ribosomal RNA", at positions 524 to 776 of the family's 1533-position model. The record is from RNAcentral.